Molecule: ribosomal RNA, 253 nt
Filed under: uncultured bacterium
Lineage: Bacteria
Description: partial 16S ribosomal RNA
Rfam family: Bacterial small subunit ribosomal RNA
Source: RNAcentral
UACGUAGGGACCAAGCGUUGUUCGGAUUUACUGGGCGUAAAGGGCGCGUAGGCGGCGUGUUAAGUCAGCUGUGAAAUCUCCGAGCUUAACUCGGAACGGUCAGCUGAUACUGAUGUGCUAGAGUGCAGAAGGGGCAAUCGGAAUUCUUGGUGUAGCGGUGAAAUGCGUAGAUAUCAAGAGGAACACCUGAGGUGAAGACGGGUUGCUGGGCUGACACUGACGCUGAGGUGCGGAAGCGUGGGUAGCGAACGGG